GACGAACGCUGGCGGCGUGCUUAACACAUGCAAGUCGAACGGAAAGGCCCUGCUUGUGUGGGGUGCUCGAGUGGCGAACGGGUGAGUAACACGUGAGUAACCUGCCCUUGACUUUGGGAUAACUUCAGGAAACUGGUGCUAAUACCUGAUAGGAGCUCCUGCUGCAUGGUGGGGGUUGGAAAGUUUCGGCGGUUGGGGAUUGACGCGGGGCUUAUCAGCUUGUUGGUUGGGUAGUGGCUUACCAAGGCUUUGGCGGGUAGCCGGCCUGAGAGGGUGACCGGCCACAUUGGGACUGAGAUACGGCGCAGACGCCUACGGGAGGCAGCAGUGGGGAAUAUUGCACAAUGGGCGGAAGCCUGAUGAAGCAACGCCGCGUGCGGGAUGACGGCCUUCGGGUUGGAAACCGCUUUCGCCUGUGACGAAGCGUGAGUGACGGUAAUGGGUAAAGAAGCACCGGCUAACUACGUG
This 468-nucleotide ribosomal RNA is filed under the name uncultured bacterium. Its description in RNAcentral is "partial 16S ribosomal RNA". It matches the Rfam family "Bacterial small subunit ribosomal RNA", at positions 28 to 507 of the family's 1533-position model. The record is from RNAcentral.